RNAcentral lists this non-coding RNA (128 nucleotides) under Lachnospiraceae bacterium. RNAcentral describes it as "Azaaromatic sequence". It matches the Rfam family "azaaromatic riboswitch aptamer (yjdF RNA)". Lineage: Bacteria; Bacillati; Bacillota; Clostridia; Lachnospirales; Lachnospiraceae. The record is from RNAcentral.
AAAGACAAAGAUAAAAACGCAACGUGCAUUAUUUAUGUACCAGAGCCGGUAGGUAGCCCGGCCGUCUCAUUUUUGAAGUGAGGUAAGUAACCUGCCCCUCCGGGUUGUCCAUUCUUUGUCCAAAAGCU